Non-coding RNA from Crucibulum laeve, 110 nucleotides. The record is from the annotation of a GenBank genome assembly. Lineage: Eukaryota; Fungi; Basidiomycota; Agaricomycetes; Agaricales; Nidulariaceae.
GCAUUGAUGGUGUAGCGGUAACAUUGGGUCUUCCCAUGAGAAGUUAAUAUUUCCUCUAACAGGACAAUUCUUAUGUGGCCUAGCUCCGGGUUCGACUCCCGGUCAAUGCA